AGCAGCCGCGGUAAUUCCAGCUCCAAUAGCGUAUAUUAAAGUUGUUGCAGUUAAAAAGCUCGUAGUUGAAUUUCGGGAUCAGUACGCCGGUCGUGCCUUCGGUAUGUACUGGUGUCACUGAUUCCUCCCUUCUGAAGAACCGUUAUGCCAUUCAUUUGGUGUGACGGGGAAUCAGGACUGUUACUUUGAAAAAUUAGAGUGUUUAAAGCAGGCUCGCGCUUGAAUACAUUAGCGUGGAAUAAUGAAAUAGGACGUUUGAUCUUAUUUUGUUGGUUUCUAGGAUCGACGUAAUGAUUAAUAGGGAUAGUUGGGGCAUUAGUAUUCAAUUGUCAGAGGUGAAAUUCUCGGAUUUAUUGAAGACUAACUACUGCGAAAGCAUUUGCCAAGGAUGUUUUCAUUAAUCAAGAACGAAAGUUAGGGGAUCGAAGACGAUCAGAUACCGUCGUAGUC
RNAcentral lists this ribosomal RNA (450 nucleotides) under uncultured Glomeromycotina. Its description in RNAcentral is "SSU rRNA". It matches the Rfam family "Eukaryotic small subunit ribosomal RNA", at positions 569 to 1025 of the family's 1831-position model. Lineage: Eukaryota; Fungi; Glomeromycota. The record is from RNAcentral.